Molecule: long non-coding RNA, 2122 nt
Filed under: Mus musculus (house mouse)
Lineage: Eukaryota; Metazoa; Chordata; Mammalia; Rodentia; Muridae
Description: long non-coding RNA chrX:113402571-113404693
Source: RNAcentral
AGGGAUCUGACACUUUCUUCUGCCCCUUACGGAUACUAAGCAUACAUGUUGUAUGCAAACAUAAAUGCAGGUAGUAUACACAUAUACAUAAAUUAAAAGUAAGUAAAUAUUUUUACAAAGUAAAGAAAAAAAUGACAUACCACUUUUUGAGACUCUUGCAAGGCAACUCUAAGAAUGGAGCAAACUGGAAAGAAAAAUGAGACAAUAACCAUUACUCAUAGUUCUCUACAUACUCACUUAUGAAUCUCUUGCUUUUUAUGAAAUGCUGGUGAAACAAUUGCUACAUGCCACCUCCUCCUGAAGUCACUUGGAUUAGAAGACACAAUUAAUGAGAAAUGGGAUUAGUUUUAUGUCUGAUUUUCUAACAUUUAUAUGUGUUAAUUCUUCAUUAUUCAUUUAUUUCAAUCAUUCCAAGUUAUUAUAUUCAGAUAAUAGAAAAGAGGGUGUAGCAUAUCAAAGACAGCAAUAUUUAAAAUAUACCUUCUCAUUUUAUUCAUCACUGUGCUGAUUUUUAUCUCUAUCAAUAAUGUUCAGAUAUAAAUUUGGAGUACUUCAGUUUUUAAAUUUACAUAAAUUUAGAUUUAUGAAAUCUUCCCUUUGAAUCCAGGGAACAGGUUUUUAUCAUGGCCUUUUAUUAUGUGCAGAUUAUAAAAUAGACUGUAUAUUUGUAUUUUACAGGAGAUUUGUAAGAAAUAUAUAAUUUUUUGUACCUAGAAAGUUAAUAUUCUCUUAUAGGAGCAAUGAUAAAAUUUAGAGUCUAGAAGAACCAUACAGCUAACGAAUACAAAUUGAACAUUAUAAAGACAUGCUUGUUUGAUCCUCUGAGCAAGUUGAAAUUAUUUCUUUUCAUUAUAAGUUAUUUCUUUAUAGGAAUAUUUCUUCCUUUAAUGUUACUUGCUUAAAUUUCUAUUUGUAAUAUAUCAUUCAAUUCAAACCUUUUCAAAUUGGAUUUUUCUUUUCAGUACACAGAAUAUUAUAAUAUGGUAGUUUUGUCAUUUUGUCUUGUGAGUCCAUUAUAAUACUUUGAUUUCUUUAAGACAGAGUCUCAAGAAGUAUUUAAUUUAGACACUGUUAUUAAGAAUGAAAAUUUAAAAAAAUAUUUAUGAAAGUUGAAUAGGUUUAUUCAGGUACCAGAGAAGUGAGAAACAUAACCCUGAAGAGAUGUGUGAGAUGAUGUGAAAACCACAGUGAAAUGUACAUUUGAUUUGAAUUUAAGUAGUUUCAAACCUUUAGCCCAACAACAAAGAGAUUUUAAUUUAGUAACUUAAAGGGGCUACCUUACAUUUUGUCAUAAUCUUGCUAAGAUGGUUUUAUCAAACGACUGACUGCAUUUUUACAUAUUUCUUCUUAAAAUAAUGCCCAAUGUGUUAAAUAUGCUGUUUAUCCAGAUGAUAAAAGUUGAAAAACUGAAGCAAAUAAUCAGGAUGGCAAUAUUUAGAUCAGAUAGAAUUGUAUAGGCCUGACUGAAGUAGCUAACAUUUUUGUGAAUUUAAAGGGAGAUAACAGCCACAACAACAACACAAAGAACUGUGACAACCCAAAUGUGUUUGUGUUACUAAGAUAAUUGUAGAUCAGAUAGUUUUGAGAUUCAAUGAAAGGAAUAGACAGGCCCUUAGUUUUCCCUCAUGCAGGGGAACAGAGAGUACAACAGUGCCAUUGAUAAGCAACUAAGUUUAGACUUCUGUUAAAUUGUACAAAUCAGCAUAGAAGUCAAUCUAAAUAAAGUGGCAUAUGUGGAAAGAACAAGUCUCUGUAAAGGUAUACUGGAUGAGUCUACACCAUAAAUUGAAAACCUUAUUUGAAAUAAAGUAACAUUUCCAUAACAUUGUAAAUACUGCCAGAUUUCACAAUGGGAUAAUGGAUUCUUUUGUUUUCAAUCAAUAUAUCAGCAAGUCUGAAGCUCUCUUGGUUUCUGUUGUAUCUGUUGACUGCAUUGUAAUCAUUUUUUCAGGGGGAGAGAGGUCUAAAGAUUUUUAAUACUGACAGGCCCACAAAAGAGCUUCUCCUCCUUCCCACUUGGUUGUCUCUCUUUGUAACAAAGAUGACAUCCAAAUGAGUCAUGCAAAUGACCCCAUGCCACUCAAGAAACCAAUUAUUUGACAAUAGGAAGGUUUUGCUUUUG